CACAAAGGCAAACUACAUCGAAAGGGUAGGGCGCAAAGCCAUGGGUCUAAGGCAUUGUUAUGUGCUAUGAUCGCCAGGCUGCAG
This 84-nucleotide non-coding RNA is filed under the name marine eukaryotic metagenome. RNAcentral's name for it is "Cyclic di-GMP-I riboswitch". It matches the Rfam family "c-di-GMP-I riboswitch aptamer", at positions 8 to 85 of the family's 87-position model. From Rfam's summary of the family: GEMM was predicted in a large-scale screen for bacterial structured RNA regulatory elements. Genes associated with GEMM are involved in a diverse array of functions, including chemotaxis regulation, signal transduction, secretion and chitin. The record is from RNAcentral.